GUGGCCUCUGGGUGAACCGUGUGCUUCUGGAAGAAUCCAUUAUCUCAUGCCAUCUACAUAUGGUACACAUAGUCUACCCUGGCAGCGUAACACACGAUCUCUCCCUUUGGAGAAAACCUCUACUUUUUGAUCUCUGGUCAAUUUUUUCAACUUCACUAGACUGGGAUAUCUUCCUGAUUUUCCUUCACUUCAGAAACAAGAGAUGAUUACAAACUAUUCUGCAC
Molecule: long non-coding RNA, 224 nt
Filed under: Capsicum annuum
Lineage: Eukaryota; Viridiplantae; Streptophyta; Magnoliopsida; Solanales; Solanaceae
Description: long non-coding RNA (CANN_LNC000724)
Source: RNAcentral